This 484-nucleotide ribosomal RNA is filed under the name uncultured bacterium. Its description in RNAcentral is "partial 16S ribosomal RNA". It matches the Rfam family "Bacterial small subunit ribosomal RNA", at positions 28 to 523 of the family's 1533-position model. The record is from RNAcentral.
GAUGAAAGCUGGCGGCGUGCUUAACACAUGCAAGUCGAACGGUGAAAGCGGAGCUUGCUCUGCUGGAUCAGCGGCGAACGGGUGAGUAACACGUGAGCAAUCUGCCCUUGACUCUGGGAUAAGCGCUGGAAACGGCGUCUAAUACCGGAUACGAGCUGCGAAGGCAUCUUCAGCAGCUGGAAAGAACUUCGGUCAAGGAUGAGCUCGCGGCCUAUCAGCUUGUUGGUGAGGUAACGGCUCACCGAGGCGUCGACGGGUAGCCGGCCUGAGAGGGUGACCGGCCACACUGGGACUGAGACACGGCCCAGACUCCUACGGGAGGCAGCAGUGGGGAAUAUUGCACAAUGGGCGCAAGCCUGAUGCAGCAACGCCGCGUGAGGGACGACGGCCUUCGGGUUGUAAACCUCUUUUAGCAGGGAAGAAGCGAAAGUGACGGUACCUGCAGAAAAAGCACCGGCUAACUACGUGCCAGCAGCCGCGGUAA